UACGUAGGGUGCGAGCGUUGUCCGGAAUUACUGGGCGUAAAGAGCUCGUAGGUGGUUUGUCGCGUUGUUCGUGAAAAACUCACAGCUCAACUGUGGGCGUGCGGGCGAUACGGGCAGACUGGAGUACUGCAGGGGAGACUGGAAGUUCCUGGUGUAGCGGUGGAAUGCGCAGAUAUCAGGAGGAACACCGGUGGCGAAGGCGGGUCUCUGGGCAGUGAACUGACGCUGAGGAGCGAAAGCGUGGGGGAGCGAACAGG
This 257-nucleotide ribosomal RNA is filed under the name uncultured bacterium. RNAcentral describes it as "partial 16S ribosomal RNA". It matches the Rfam family "Bacterial small subunit ribosomal RNA", at positions 524 to 776 of the family's 1533-position model. The record is from RNAcentral.